Platichthys flesus (European flounder) is the source of this 5887-nucleotide RNA transcript. It is a transcript of the gene named fibronectin type III domain containing 5a, with no coding region annotated. NCBI's taxonomy places the organism in Eukaryota, Metazoa, Chordata, Actinopteri, Pleuronectiformes, Pleuronectidae. The record is from RefSeq and is a predicted model, not a curated record. The transcript is spliced from 6 exons.
CACUCACACACGCGCGCACAGUCUCUGUCCCUUUUCCAGUCGAGACGAUACGCAUGAACUGACGUGAAUGCCGAGCAGCAGCAGCAGCGCAAGCCCAGCAGAGCGCAGCACCGCCGGCCAGAGUAAAUGGGACCGCACGUCAACCGAGCGUUAGAAAGAUGGAGAGAUUUCUGCUGCUCGUCCUCAGCUGUCUCGGCGUCUCUCGAGUCGCAGCGGAUAGCUUGUCACCUCCCGUCAAUGUGACCAUCACAGCGCUGAAAGCAAACUCUGCUGUGGUGACAUGGGACAUCCCCGAGGGAGACUCCGUCAUUGGCUUCGCCAUCACACAGCAGAAGAAAGACGUGCGUAUGCUGCGAUUCAUCCAGGAAGUCAACACCACCACACGCUCCUGUGCAUUAUGGGACUUGGAGGAGGAGACUGACUACAUUGUGCAUGUCCAGUCCAUCAGCAUGUCUGGGACGAGCCCGCUGAGCGAACCGCUGCGCUUCCGAACGCCGAAGGAGGCCGAGACUCAGGCCUCUAAGAGUAAAGACGAGGUGACGAUGGAAGAAGUGGGCCAGAGCACCCAGCUGAGGGCGGGGGAGCUCAUCAUCAUUGUGGUUGUACUUAUCAUGUGGGCAGGUGUGAUCGCUCUCUUCUGUCGCCAGUACGACAUAAUUAAAGACAACGAGCCCAACAACAACAAGGACAAGGCCAAAAACUCCUCGGAGUGCAGCACUCCUGAACACCCAACAGGGGGGCUGUUGCGCAGUAAGGUAUAACCCACCCCCUCCUCCUCUCCCCGGGUGCCUCCCCCAUCAGCAGCACCGGGCAGUUCUCCAACAACAACAAGAUGCCAUCUGUUAACAUCAUCGAGGUGUGACUGCCAAGACGUCUCCUCUUUAUCCAAAAGACUUUGUGUUCUCACAAACCAACGGGGCCCCUUUUUAAGCCCAUCUGCUUGUCAGGAUGAGGCUGGGACUCUUGGCCCUCUCCUUUGGCACAGGGCCCGGUGCCGAGAUGAUGUCGCAGGACAACGGGGGGUCAGACACGAAGACAUGGCCGAUGCUGCUCUGAGAGUUGAGUCGGCCGUGGAGAGAAUGCGGCUCGAGUUAAGCGGCUUCAAAGUGCUUAAUGACUAUGGUAGCAGAGAUUAUCGCAGAAUGGCUCCGGUGGUGGAGCGAUUGCAGAGAAACCAACCACAGGGACCAAAACCAAUAAACAGAGCCACAGAACUUUUCAUUCUCUCUCCCCCUUUGUCACCUCUUUUCUUGUCGUCUUUCGGUGCGUUAUCAACAGCCACAAACCUGGAGCUUAGCUAGUUCUGGGUUGCACUGGGAUCCACUUUGUUAUAUUCAUCUCCUGUUACUUGAUCUUAGCAUCUUCUCCUAAUUUCCUUUAUACCAUCCUGUUUUAACUUUCUAAAUACUGUAGAUUAUUCAACUGUAUCACUGUUGUUUUACUUCUUUGAUUUUCAACAUGGUGCCUUCAGAGCACUCCUGUCGUUCUGGUAUCUUUAUUUUCUUAAUUUAGAUCACCUUUCCUCCUCUUAAAGAAACUCUUUAUCCUCCUGUGGGAAACGUUUUACUCUCGCUAGCUCAUUUUCCCACCUCAGGGAAUCCAAACUCAACCUGGCCAAUGUCAGAGCCAUUUAUUAGAUUGCUUAAGCGGGAUCACUUGGCUCACAGCCAAAUCAGAACUUCCCAAUUCAAAAUAAUUUAAGAUGAAACGUGUUAGCUCGUAUUGAAAGGCUUCUCCGAUUUGAAUACGUGUAGCCGUGAAGUGAAGUCCACAACGUUUUUUUCCGUCACACUUUUUGACAUUCUCUUACUUCUGUCCUACUUUUAUUAUAGAUUUCUGAAAUGCUACAUUCCACCUUCCACAAUGAGCCCUUUAGUAUUUCCUUGUGUCUUUGUCUUAGAGGGUGAUGGACUUCAGAGCAUUUUGGGGCGGGGGAGGAAAAGGAGCUGCCAUAGCAUUCAUCUAAUUAAUGAACUUCAAAAAGAGCUGGACUUCUACAGAGGAGUGGACUGAAGAGAACCCUGGUAUCAGCAAUAAUAGCCCUCAGUCGAGUGCAGGAGCCAGGACUCUAUGGCCUGUUCGUCCUUAAACUCAACCUCCCAGCAUGCAAUGUUUGGACAUAUGAUGAAACUGAACAUACGUGAGGGAAUGAAUGCUGAGUCUGAGUCAGAGAAAAGCUGAAGCGCUGUUGUAAAAACUUUAGUUUCUGAUGGCUAGCAUGAAAAAUAUACUUUUUUUAAGGGCCCAAAUCUCCAACCGUUAGAUUGCUUUGUGACAUCCAGAACAAAUGUCGCAAAGACAGAAGGGCUUCAAUCAAAGACUCUCUCAAUUCAAAGUCAAAAUUUGUGUUUAACUGAAUGGUCUACUGUGAUUUGUAAGGUGGACUUGUUAUAAGACAGUGAAAUGGUGUAUUUGAGGGCUGAUCUAAACUCAGUAGUGCUGCCUUAAAAAUAAUAUCUUGUGUUUUCACUAACAAGAUGGAGGUUUAUCCAGUUUGGGUCAUUUGCAUUAUCACAUGAUAUUUAAUUAGGUGUGCAAAGUAAAAGGAAAUAUUGCAGAGUGACGAUAUUUAAUCCAAGUUUAGAUGAGUGGAAAUGUGGAGGUAAUGUUGUGGCAUUUAAUGUGUACAUACAUUUUAUAUUUGGUGGUGUCACUUUAGAGGGCCUUUUAUGAAACAUGACAACACUAAUGUGAACAAUGUAGAUAAUAAGAUAAAGAUAAAGUAGCUUUAUUGUCAAUUUAUAAACAUGCUCAAGACAUACAAGGAAUCCAUACGACGUUUCCCACUCUCCCACAGUGAAACAUAUAAAGUGCACAGGCACAACAGAUAACACAAGAAUUUUCCUAAUACUAAGUAAAAAAUGUUUAGUACAGCAGCAUAAGGUUCUCUAAAGUGUAAACGUAGUGAUUAAAGUGAUAAAGUGCAAAAAGUACAAAAAGUACAUGAGUGUUUUUAGGGGGGGGGGCUUCCUGACAGCUUGGUGUAUGAAACUAUUUCUGGGUCUGGUGGUGCUGCAACGGAGGCUCCUAUAACUUCUUCCAGAGGGUAGGAGGCUGAACAGACCGUGUGCGGGGUGGCUGGUGUCGCUCACCAUCAAGGUGGCUUUCCGGGUGAGGCGGGUGGUGUAAGUGUCUUGCAAGGAAGGGAGUGGGGCUACUGCCCCACUCAAUGAUGCAGCUAGACAGGAUGCUUUCAAUGGUGCCCCGGUAGAAAGUGUUCAGGAUGAGUGUGGGAGCUCUCGCUCUCUUGAGAGGCUUGUGUAGCCUCAUAACGUAAGACGGCAUUGUUACUGGGGAUUUUUAAGUUAUGCACAGCUAUGAAAGUCAUGUCAUUAACCAGCUUUUUUCAUAGCAUACCUCUAACAUGUAUGUCUAUCACAUUAUAUCAAUGUGGUGUUUGUGUACAAUAUGAAAGUACUUUUUUUAUUGAGGAAUGUGAUAAAAAAACAAAACAUUUUAAAUAGUCAACAAAACCUACCGGUUAACAGCCGUUACAAGUCUCCAUCGACAGACAGAGUGAUAAUACUCCACACACAUUUUGCUAUGCAUCGUGAGUCUUUUAUUGUAAACAAACAAAUAUGAUGUGUGCACACAAGCAUAACAGAUCACAAAGCCAACAGCAGUGAACUGAGACAGGGUGCAAAGGCAGGUAAAAAAAGCAGUGAAGGUUAUUGUCGGGUACGUCAAAUAAGAGCGGGUUGAAAGGUAGAAUGACUAAUGCAGUGGAAGGCUUUUAUCACUCUCUUGCUUCCUCCGCCUCCCCCUCUCGCAUCUUUCAUACUUAAUACGAGGAACAGCUCAAGAUUGUGCUCCUGCACUCCUGGAUUAAAGGUGAAGUCAGAGUGGGAAAAGGGAAAAGAUACUGAUUCACUCAGACGUUUCUGCUGUUGCCAGGAAAAACAUGGUGAAGCAGCUACAGUAGCACCCUGCUGCAUCACUCCAGAGUGAUGCAACAACUUCUGCAGCUGAAGGCUGAAUCCAUUUUUUCCAGAGAACACAGCAGUGGCACCGGGCCUCUCCGAUCGAUAGGCCUCCAUCUACACAGAUAUGGAUAGUAAUGGUUGUCUCCCUGGAUGGUUUCUCUAAACUAGUGCUAUGCCUUAAGUUUGCCAAUAAUAUAUUUUUUCAGCAGCAUUCCAUGUAGACACUUUUUUUUUACUUUCCUCCUCCGCAGUCACUUCAAUAAGUUAAUCUUAAACUGGCAACAUGAGAUGUUCACUUUGAAAGCCUUUACAGGUUUGACUGAUUAAAGUUGAUCCAUUCAGUGCAUCAUCAUCUUCAGAUUAUGGUUCACUUCUUUGUUGACACUGUAAAUAAUGUAUUACUGAUUUAUGUGUAGGGCUACUGUGAACAUUCACUUGUGUUGACGGUUGUCCAACUGUUAAAGGACAUUUUGCAGUUAGAUUAGAAGAUCAAUACCACUUUUAUCACAUCUAUAAUAUAAAUAUGAAGCUACAGCCAGUGGCUAGUUAGCUUAGCCAUUUCCAGCAUGUAUUAUAAGCUAAGCUAAGCUGCUGGCUCGAGCUACAAAGCUCAAAGUCAUAUUGAUCGUCGCAUUUAAUUCUUUAAACCUGACUAAGCACAUUUUCAAAAAAGCUGAACUACUCAAUUAAGGGUAGCAGUAGGCUAACUGCAUAUAAUCUAUGUAUUGUUUUUCUGUGUUUGACGUUAACUGCUGAGGAUGGACAACACAACUCAACUUCCUGCUUAAAAAAAAAAAAAAAAAAUUCGAUUAAAAAUACAUACAAUUACAGAAACCAUUUAUGAAGAAAAGUUUAUUCACACACUGCAGCCAGCCACCAGGGGGCAAUCCAAACGUUUUGGCUUCAAUUGUUGGGAGCUGUCAUGUCUUCUAAUUUUAUAUACAGUCUAUGGUUUAACCAAGAUUCACCAAAACAGAGUGAAACAUGUUUGUUGGAUCAGUGGAAGACGGCUCUACACAUUUCACACGUGGUGGCGUAGCGUACACUCAAUCAGCCUCACUGGACCUGGUCAUACUACAGAAGGGACAGACUGAUGGUUUGGAUUCAAGUUGUUUGUUGUCAUGAGGACCACUGUUGUCAUGAGGACCACUGAAGCUUCUGCUUGAAAUAGGUUGAAUACACACCUGUCCACAGCAGAUAGAAAAUUACUUUUUUCUUUUAAUCAAACUCGACAAAUGGUGACGACUGUAAGAACUCGACAUUCCACUUGAGCCCAACUACACACUGAGGACUUUGUUUCAGUGCCAGAGGCCCAAGGUGUUUUCUCAAGCUACUUUGUGUACCAUACAAUGCCUGAAAGAGAAAAAUAUGCUUGGUAGCUGUACUGGAGUGUUUUGUGAUGGCGCAGCACUAACAGAGAUGGGAUUUUUUAUUUUUUUUAUUUUAAACAACUUACACAGUGUGUAUUUUGUAUUAGACUAGAAACAAGCAAGGAAGUUGAGCAUAUCCUGUCAAGGGGAUAUGUAAAUUAUGCCACAAAGAAGCAUGGUUUGGAGAAACUGCUUUAUUAGUGCAAUCAUGUUUAUAUUCAUCGUACAAAGUGUACAGCAGUCGUUGCUUAAUGAGGGCUAGCAUGAUAUAACUAUUAUGCACAAGGUUACACAACUUCUAUCAUGAAGAAUAUGGUGUAUGCUUACUUGUGUAUGCUUAAAUAAAAUAUGUAAUAUUUUCCACAAAGGCCUGUCUCUGAUGUUUGUAUGUCUACAAAAUCUGAGAGAUCAUUAAAACCUUUCUGGGCAAAGGAAAAGUCAUGGUGACACUUUUUCAGAAUCAAGAUGGACAGGCUUUUUCGUUGGUGAAUAAUAAAUAUGAACCUCAGCCUUCACCAGGCUUCAGCUCUCAAGACAUUUUGCCAUAAAACAAAAACGCACAUCUACAAUAUCUCCAAUUUACUCCCCAGGUUA